Molecule: ribosomal RNA, 335 nt
Filed under: uncultured bacterium
Lineage: Bacteria
Description: bacterial SSU rRNA
Rfam family: Bacterial small subunit ribosomal RNA
Source: RNAcentral
UGACUGCUAAUACCGCAUAAGCGCACAGUACCGCAUGGUACAGUGUGAAAAACUCCGGUGGUAUGAGAUGGACCCGCGUCUGAUUAGCUGGUUGUGGGGUAACGGCCUACCAAGGCGACGAUCAGUAGCCGACCUGAGAGGGUGACCGGCCACAUUGGGACUGAGACACGGCCCAGACUCCUACGGGAGGCAGCAGUGGGGGAUAUUGCACAAUGGAGGAAACUCUGAUGCCAGCAACGCCGCGUGAGGGAAGAAGGGUCUUCGGAUUGUAAACCUAAGUUGUCAGGGACGAACAAAUGACGGUACCUGAAAAGAAAGCUCCGGCUAACUACGUG